GCGCUUGUAGCUCAAUUGGAUAGAGCACCAGCCUUCUAAGCUGGGGGUUGCAGGUUCGAUUCCUGCCAAGCGCA
Molecule: transfer RNA, 74 nt
Filed under: Candidatus Azoamicus ciliaticola
Lineage: Bacteria; Pseudomonadati; Pseudomonadota; Gammaproteobacteria; Candidatus Azoamicaceae
Also listed under: 1 other name
Rfam family: tRNA
About the family: Transfer RNA (tRNA) molecules are approximately 80 nucleotides in length. Their secondary structure includes four short double-helical elements and three loops (D, anti-codon, and T loops). Further hydrogen bonds mediate the characteristic L-shaped molecular structure. tRNAs have two regions of fundamental functional importance: the anti-codon, which is responsible for specific mRNA codon recognition, and the 3' end, to which the tRNAs corresponding amino acid is attached (by aminoacyl-tRNA synthetases). tRNAs cope with the degeneracy of the genetic code in two manners: having more than one tRNA (with a specific anti-codon) for a particular amino acid; and 'wobble' base-pairing, i.e. permitting non-standard base-pairing at the 3rd anti-codon position.
Source: Rfam by way of RNAcentral